GACGAACGCUGGCGGCGUGCUUAACACAUGCAAGUCGAACGGAAAGGCCCUGCUUUUGUGGGGUGCUCGAUUGGCGAACGGGUGAGUAACACGUGAGUAACCUGCCCUUGACUUUGGGAUAACUUCAGGAAACUGGGGCUAAUACCGGAUAGGAUCUCCUGCUGCAUGGUGGGGGUUGGAAAGUGUCGGCGGUUGGGGAUGGACUCGCGGCUUAUCAGCUUGUUGGUGGGGUAGUGGCUUACCAAGGCUUUGACGGGUAGCCGGCCUGAGAGGGUGACCGGCCACAAUGGGACUGAGGUACGGAGCAGACUCCUACGGGAGGCAGCAGUGGGGAAUAUUGCACAAUGGGCGGAAGCCUGAUGCAGCAACGCCGCGUGCGGGAUGACGGCCUUCGGGUUGUAAACCGCUUUCGCCUGUGACGAAGCGUGAGUGACGGUAAUGGGUAAAGAAGCACCGGCUAACUACGUG
This 468-nucleotide ribosomal RNA is filed under the name uncultured bacterium. Its description in RNAcentral is "partial 16S ribosomal RNA". It matches the Rfam family "Bacterial small subunit ribosomal RNA", at positions 28 to 507 of the family's 1533-position model. The record is from RNAcentral.